Molecule: ribosomal RNA, 500 nt
Filed under: uncultured bacterium
Lineage: Bacteria
Description: bacterial SSU rRNA
Rfam family: Bacterial small subunit ribosomal RNA
Source: RNAcentral
AACGAACGCUGGCGGCGUGGAUAAGACAUGCAAGUCGAACGGAAUAUACUGGUAGCAAUAUUGGUAUGUUCAGUGGCGAACGGGUGCGUAACACGUGGGUAACAUGCCGGGAAGUGGAGAAUAGCCCAGGGAAACUUGGAUUAAUGCUCCAUGUGGUCGCAAGACUAAAGACGGGGUAACCUGUCGCUUCCUGAUUGGCCCGCGGCCUAUCAGCUAGUUGGCGAGGUAACGGCUCACCAAGGCGACGACGGGUAGCUGGUCUGAGAGGAUGACCAGCCACACUGGAACUGAGACACGGUCCAGACACCUACGGGUGGCAGCAGUCGAGAAUCUUUCACAAUGGGGGCAACCCUGAUGGAGCGACGCCGCGUGGAGGAUAAGGUCUUCGGAUUGUAAACUCCUGUCAUGCGAGAGUAAGGCCGACGCGUUAACUGCGCGGAGGAUUGACAGUAUCGCAAGAGGAAGAGACGGCUAACUCUGUGCCAGCCGCCGCCGUAAAA